GGGAAAAGGAGAAGAGGAAGAAAGAGAUGAAUUGAUUAUCAAGUGAGAUGAGGUGCAGCGGAAUUUGUAUUCAGCAGUGACAGAAUUAAUUUUGGAAGGGGAUCAACCGCCCCUGUCUGAGGACUCAAGAGCAUUACAGGAGCUGACAGC
Poecile atricapillus (Black-capped chickadee) is the source of this 150-nucleotide long non-coding RNA. RefSeq lists it as uncharacterized. The record is from RefSeq and is a predicted model, not a curated record. The transcript has 3 exons. Lineage: Eukaryota; Metazoa; Chordata; Aves; Passeriformes; Paridae.